RNAcentral lists this ribosomal RNA (253 nucleotides) under uncultured bacterium. Its description in RNAcentral is "partial 16S ribosomal RNA". It matches the Rfam family "Bacterial small subunit ribosomal RNA", at positions 524 to 776 of the family's 1533-position model. The record is from RNAcentral.
UACGUAGGGGGCAAGCGUUGUCCGGAAUCAUUGGGCGUAAAGCGCGUGUAGGCGGCCCAGUAAGUCCGCUGUGAAAGCCCGGGGCUCAACCCCGGAACGGCAUCCGAUACGGGGCGGCUCGAGACCGAGAGAGGUGAGUGGAAUACCCAGUGUAGAGGUGAAAUUCGUAGAUAUUGGGUGGAACACCGGUGGCGAAAGCGGCUCACUGGCUCGGUUCUGACGCUGAGGCGCGAAAGCGUGGGGAGCAAACAGG